Molecule: long non-coding RNA, 551 nt
Organism: Mustela erminea (ermine)
Lineage: Eukaryota; Metazoa; Chordata; Mammalia; Carnivora; Mustelidae
Exons: 5
Source: RefSeq, a predicted model, not a curated record
CUUUGUUUCUUUGGAGGCGGGUGGAUAGAAGCAUUUCAAACAAUCAGCCACACAGAGAAAGUGACGAGUUCCUCCUGGAAUACUGAUGUCGGACAUUGUUGUACCGGUCAUCUGAAAUUCAUUUUUAAAUUUUGGGAGCAAGGCGGAUUGUGGAAUCAGGGGAGACAGAGACCUACCUCCUCAUGAUUCUUCUUGAGGUCAUCAAUUAUUGGGAAGUAUCUGCUGUAAUCAUGAUCAAGACCACGGCAAGAACCAGGCCCGAAUUUCUCGUACCAGCCCUUGAUCUUCUGCUCCAGGUCAGCGUUGGCCUCCUCUAGUGCUCGCACAUUUUCCAGUUUAAAAUCAAUGGACUAUAAGCUUGAUAAAGCUCCUUCGCCUGAUGUGUAAGUUUCUUCUUGAGGUGGGAGCCAAGACACAAUCAAGCCAAAGAAGAGGAAAAGAAAGGGUUAAUUACUUGCAAUAAGCCAGGAAAACACCAUGGAUAUUUCCAGACAACAAAAUUAGGGAAGUUUUAAGGAAAGUGCCCCACCAUGAGAAGAAACACCCGGAAG